UGCAGUCGAGCGAACAGACAAGGAGCUUGCUCCUUUGACGUUAGCGGCGGACGGGUGAGUAACACGUGGGUAACCUACCUAUAAGACUGGGAUAACUUCGGGAAACCGGAGCUAAUACCGGAUAAUAUUUCGAACCGCAUGGUUCGAUAGUGAAAGAUGGUUUUGCUAUCACUUAUAGAUGGACCCGCGCCGUAUUAGCUAGUUGGUAAGGUAACGGCUUACCAAGGCGACGAUACGUAGCCGACCUGAGAGGGUGAUCGGCCACACUGGAACUGAGACACGGUCCAGACUCCUACGGGAGGCAGCAGUAGGGAAUCUUCCGCAAUGGGCGAAAGCCUGACGGAGCAACGCCGCGUGAGUGAUGAAGGUCUUCGGAUCGUAAAACUCUGUUAUUAGGGAAGAACAUACGUGUAAGUAACUGUGCACGUCUUGACGGUACCUAAUCAGAAAGCCACGGCUAACUACGUGCCAGCAGCCGCGGUAAUACGUAGGUGGCAAGCGUUAUCCGGAAUUAUUGGGCGUAAAGCGCGCGUAGGCGGUUUUUUAAGUCUGAUGUGAAAGCCCACGGCUCAACCGUGGAGGGUCAUUGGAAACUGGAAAACUUGAGUGCAGAAGAGGAAAGUGGAAUUCCAUGUGUAGCGGUGAAAUGCGCAGAGAUAUGGAGGAACACCAGUGGCGAAGGCGACUUUCUGGUCUGUAACUGACGCUGAUGUGCGAAAGCGUGGGGAUCAAACAGGAUUAGAUACCCUGGUAGUCCACGCCGUAAACGAUGAGUGCUAAGUG
Molecule: ribosomal RNA, 783 nt
Filed under: Staphylococcus sp. X2-CRBM-E14
Lineage: Bacteria; Bacillati; Bacillota; Bacilli; Caryophanales; Staphylococcaceae
Description: bacterial SSU rRNA
Rfam family: Bacterial small subunit ribosomal RNA
Source: RNAcentral